Molecule: transfer RNA, 88 nt
Filed under: Prevotellaceae bacterium
Lineage: Bacteria; Pseudomonadati; Bacteroidota; Bacteroidia; Bacteroidales; Prevotellaceae
Also listed under: 1 other name
Description: tRNA-Ser
Rfam family: tRNA
About the family: Transfer RNA (tRNA) molecules are approximately 80 nucleotides in length. Their secondary structure includes four short double-helical elements and three loops (D, anti-codon, and T loops). Further hydrogen bonds mediate the characteristic L-shaped molecular structure. tRNAs have two regions of fundamental functional importance: the anti-codon, which is responsible for specific mRNA codon recognition, and the 3' end, to which the tRNAs corresponding amino acid is attached (by aminoacyl-tRNA synthetases). tRNAs cope with the degeneracy of the genetic code in two manners: having more than one tRNA (with a specific anti-codon) for a particular amino acid; and 'wobble' base-pairing, i.e. permitting non-standard base-pairing at the 3rd anti-codon position.
Source: RNAcentral
GGAGAGGUGCUCGAGUGGUUGAAGAGGCACGCCUGGAAAGCGUGUAAACGCCUAAAGCGUUUCGGGGGUUCGAAUCCCCCUCUCUCCG